Molecule: ribosomal RNA, 506 nt
Filed under: uncultured bacterium
Lineage: Bacteria
Description: partial 16S ribosomal RNA
Rfam family: Bacterial small subunit ribosomal RNA
Source: RNAcentral
AGUGAACGCUGGCGGUAGGCCUAACACAUGCAAGUCGAACGGCAGCACAGGAGAGCUUGCUCUCUGGGUGGCGAGUGGCGGACGGGUGAGGAAUACAUCGGAAUCUACUCUGUCGUGGGGGAUAACGUAGGGAAACUUACGCUAAUACCGCAUACGACCUACGGGUGAAAGCAGGGGACCUUCGGGCCUUGCGCGAUUGAAUGAGCCGAUGUCGGAUUAGCUAGUUGGCGGGGUAAAGGCCCACCAAGGCGACGAUCCGUAGCUGGUCUGAGAGGAUGAUCAGCCACACUGGAACUGAGGCAGGGUCCAGACUCCUGCGGGAGGCAGCAGUGGGGAAUAUUGGACAAGGGGCGCGAGCCUGAUCCAGCCAUACCGCGUGGGUGAAGAAGGCCUUCGGGUUGUAAAGCCCUUUUGUUGGGAAAGAAAUCCAACUGGCUAAUACCCGGUUGGGAUGACGGUACCCAAAGAAUAAGCACCGGCUAACUUCGUGCCAGCCGCCGCCGUAA